This 305-nucleotide ribosomal RNA is filed under the name uncultured bacterium. RNAcentral describes it as "bacterial SSU rRNA". It matches the Rfam family "Bacterial small subunit ribosomal RNA", at positions 333 to 631 of the family's 1533-position model. The record is from RNAcentral.
GUAUGCCUACGGGACGCAGCAGUGAGGAAUUUUGGACAAUGGGCGCAAGCCUGAUCCAGCUAUUCCGCGUGUGGGAUGACGGCCCUCGGGUUGUAAACCACUUUAGUAGAGAACGAAAAGGAGCUAUCGAAUAAAUAGCUCUGCUGACGGUACUCUAAGAAUAAGCACCGGCUAACUACGUGCCAGCAGCCGCGGUAAUACGUAGGGUGCGAGCGUUAAUCGGAAUUACUGGGCGUAAAGGGUGUGCAGGCGGCGAGUUAAGUCAGCGGUAAAAUUUCGGGGCUCAACCCCGACGAGCCGUUGAA